AAGUCGUAACAAGGUCUCCGUAGGUGAACCUGCGGAGGGAUCAUUAAAAGAGAUGGCGGGCCUCGCUGCCCCCGUCCCCCACCCUUUGUUGACCGAAAAACCUUUUUGCCUCGGGGGCCGUGCGGCCACGGCCGCCGCCCCCAGAGGACCAACCAACGCUGUCUCUGUGAGUCGGAGUACAUGAUUGAAUAAUCAAAACUUUCAACAACGGAUCUCUUGGUUCUGGCAUCGAUGAAGAACGCAGCGAAAUGCGAUAAGUAAUGUGAAUUGCAGAAUUCAGUGAAUCAUCGAAUCUUUGAACGCACAUUGCGCCCUUUGGCAUUCCGAGGGGCAUGCCCGUUCGAGCGUCAUUAAAUCCAAUCCAGCCCGGCUGGGUGUUGGGCGAUCCGGGGGCCGUGUGGUCCCCGCGCCUCAAAGUCCGUGGCUGUUCGCACCCGAAUCUCAGCGUCGUGGAAUCGUUUCGCUGGUGAGAGGGGGGCCGUUCGGCCGUCGUCGAGACGAACGUUUUUUCUUCAGGUUGACCUCGGAUCGGGUAGGAAUACCCGCUGAACUUAA
RNAcentral lists this ribosomal RNA (555 nucleotides) under uncultured fungus. RNAcentral's name for it is "eukaryotic LSU rRNA". The stretch from base 197 to 350 matches the Rfam family "5.8S ribosomal RNA". Lineage: Eukaryota; Fungi. The record is from RNAcentral.